UGGGGAAUAUUGCACAAUGGGCGCAAGCCUGAUGCAGCCAUGCCGCGUGUAUGAAGAAGGCCUUCGGGUUGUAAAGUACUUUCAGCGGGGAGGAAGGGAGUAAAGUUAAUACCUUUGCUCAUUGACGUUACCCGCAGAAGAAGCACCGGCUAACUCCGUGCCAGCAGCCGCGGCAAUACGGAGGGUGCAAGCGUUAAUCGGAAUUACUGGGCGUAAAGCGCACGCAGGCGGUUUGUUAAGUCAGAUGUGAAAUCCUCGGGCUCAACCUGGGAACUGCAUCUGAUACUGGCAAGCUUGAGUCUCGUAGAGGGGGGUAGAAUUCCAGGUGUAGCGGUGAAAUGCGUAGAGAUCUGGAGGAAUACCGGUGGCGAAGGCGGCCCCCUGGACGAAGACUGACGCUCAGGUGCGAAAGCGUGGGGAGCAAACAGG
Molecule: ribosomal RNA, 429 nt
Filed under: Chloroflexota bacterium
Lineage: Bacteria; Bacillati; Chloroflexota
Description: Chloroflexi bacterium partial 16S ribosomal RNA
Rfam family: Bacterial small subunit ribosomal RNA
Source: RNAcentral